This 399-nucleotide ribosomal RNA is filed under the name uncultured bacterium. RNAcentral describes it as "bacterial SSU rRNA". It matches the Rfam family "Bacterial small subunit ribosomal RNA", at positions 975 to 1375 of the family's 1533-position model. The record is from RNAcentral.
CAGGGUUUGACAUGUAGUCGCACCAUCCCCAAUCGGAUGUGCCCGCAAGGGACGGCUGCACAGGUGCUGCAUGGCUGUCGUCAGCUCGUGCCGUGAGGUGUUGGGUUAAGUCCCGCAACGAGCGCAACCCUCGUCCUUAGUUGCCACCAUUCAGUUGGGCACUCUAGGGAGACUGCCGGCGUUAAGCCGGAGGAAGGUGGGGACGACGUCAAGUCAUCAUGGCCCUUAUGUCCAGGGCCACACACGUGCUACAAUGGACGGUACAAAGGGUCGCAAACCCGCGAGGGGGAGCCAAUCCCAAAAAGCCGUUCUCAGUUCGGAUUGGAGUCUGCAACUCGACUCCAUGAAGUUGGAAUCGCUAGUAAUCGCGGAUCAGCACGCCGCGGUGAAUACGUUCCC